This 962-nucleotide long non-coding RNA is filed under the name Heterocephalus glaber (naked mole-rat). RNAcentral's name for it is "lncRNA (ENSHGLG00100042922.1)". Lineage: Eukaryota; Metazoa; Chordata; Mammalia; Rodentia; Bathyergidae. The record is from RNAcentral.
ACAAGCCCCGGUGAUGGCUGUUGAGAAGUGGAAAACCAGAUGAACAGGAGCUCCACUCUGCCUGGCUGGAUGGGCGUUGCGGGGUGCCCUGUUGUGAGGGCCCUGUCCCAUCCUGGGGGCAUGGGAUGGAGGACCAGGGACAGCGUGGACUGUGGACAGUGUGGACAGAAGUGUGGGCUGUGUGCUGCUCCCAGCCCGAGGCUCCAGCAGACAGAAGCAGCGGAGUACCUCUGUCACCGGACCACCCAGGCGUCAGCCUCCUGCUGUGCUCCAGCCCACACCAGCCCAGGAACUGCGACACAGUCGGAGCAGCCUGGCUGAGAGUGCAGGCCAGAGGCAUGUAGACCACAGCCGUGAGCGUGGCUGUGCACGGUGAGCCAGAUCCAAACAUUAGUGUCGCCACACGGAGCUCUCCUGUCUUCCUCCACUUCCUUCAAUUUACCCCAUCUGGCAGCACCAGGCUGUAUGCCCACAUCAGAUCAAAAUCCAUUUGCGUCCCCUGGAGGGGAGGGGAGGAGGGGAGCGAGCACUCACUGACCAGGGUGCAUUGCUUCUGGGCACCACUUCCGUUCCCAACCCUGAAGGACAAGCAGGGUGGGGUCCCUGGAUCGCCCUCCCUCUGCAGAGCCUGGAAACACCGAGUGCCUCUGGCUGGUUUCUGUUGCUGUAACUGCUCUUCGGAGCUGGUGACUUAUAAACAACAGAAGCUCAUGUGGCCGGGGUUGGGGGGCGGUGGGGGGGUGCACUGGAGUCCAUGCCUGAGGGCCUGCUCGAGGUUCGGGCCUCUGUGCGGUGCCAGCCUCCGCAGGGGUGGAAGGGCAGGAAGACCUGCAGGGCGAGGCUGCCCUCUCAGCUCCAGCCCAUCGUGGUCAGCAUCGAAGACGUCCUGCCCCAGCUCUCCCACCCACCCUCCCAGCCCAUGCUCUUGGGGACCCGGGACCCCGAAGCGUGCCCCUGAGCCC